UCGUUUUCACCUUAUUGCUCAAAUUUAAACUCAAAAUCAAGAUUGAGGAGAUAAUCAAUUAAAUUGUCUCACAUUCUUUUUCUAAAUCUGUUGUUUUUCGAUUCAAUAUCUAAUCUAAUCAAUCUUGUGCUUCCUUCGAUUACAGAUUUUGUUGUGGCGAGAGGAUGAACAAUCAUAGUAGAAGCAACAGGAACACAGGCACUGGUCCACCCACUCAAUCGGUCCUUAAUAGUAUGUUGAAGCCUUGAGAUUCUUCUUUCAUGACUAUGUUGGUUCAUAACUUAUGCCUUAAAAGUGGACCCAACCUAGGUUCUAAAGCAUCAAAGAUUCGUAUUCUAUGUGAUUUUAAACAGCCUGACCCCGCCUGGUAAGCACAGCAUUUGGGUGAGGGGUCGGGUUGGGUGAGGCCAAAGCACUACUUUGUUGUUGUUGUUGUUGUUGUUGUUUUUACAAAAUUAACAUAAUAAUUAGGAUGGUUCGAUAUGUGUGGGGGGGGGUCAAUGAGGGUGCUGGCGCUGAUGAAAGAUCUAUCUUAGUGAGGACAAUGGUAGAAAGCAAAGCAAGCAAAAAUGUGCUUCGCGAAUUUUACCUACUUGGUAAGAUGCUAAUUUACGUGCCACUGAAUUCGCUGACGACAACGUAGUUGCGACACCUGGCAUUCAAAUGGUUGAAGUGACUGCACCUGCAUCAACUAAAAUUACACUGAAGUUGUUGCAGCAAUUUCUUUAUUUUGUGAACAUCUUGCAGCGUUAAUACGAACAACGAAGGUUAUCAAAGGAACAAAUGAAGAACUACAAAAACCUUCAGAAGAUGGAAAUGCUUUGGUCUAUCCUUUUGCGGUUGUAAUGAACAAGGAGUUUGAUCGUCACGUUCGACUUUAUAGCAAAGGUUUUGCUAAAAGAUGAUGAAAAUAUGGAUGGUGGUGAGGAAGCAUACACGAUUCUAGGUGGGAUUUUAUCAUGGCGGAGAGGAACCAUACAUGAUGGUUACAUUCGACUUAUAUCAUUGAAACACCAAAGCGCCAACCAGCAAAAUUUGAAGCUAUGAUGUAGAGUAUUAUUGAAAAGCUAUUUGUUGACUAGUUUAGGAUCUUAGAUGCCAAUGAGGUUUUCGUUACCUUUUAUCAUUGUAAUU
This 1134-nucleotide long non-coding RNA is filed under the name Helianthus annuus (common sunflower). The record is from RNAcentral. Lineage: Eukaryota; Viridiplantae; Streptophyta; Magnoliopsida; Asterales; Asteraceae.